AGCAGAGUAGUUAAAAAUGAAAACACUCAGAACCCACAUGCUGUCUGGGUUCAAAUUCCAGCUCAGCUA
Nomascus leucogenys (northern white-cheeked gibbon) is the source of this 69-nucleotide transfer RNA. It matches the Rfam family "tRNA". Rfam says of the family: Transfer RNA (tRNA) molecules are approximately 80 nucleotides in length. Their secondary structure includes four short double-helical elements and three loops (D, anti-codon, and T loops). Lineage: Eukaryota; Metazoa; Chordata; Mammalia; Primates; Hylobatidae. The record is from Rfam.